AGUAAAAUAUCUCAUUUGUAUAUACAAAAUUGAGAAUUUUCUUUUAAGAGUGUCGUUGUGAUUGAUACGCAAGGAGGGGGACAAAUUAAUAAAUAUAUCAAAUGAAGCUCGCAGCUAAGAUUCUAAUCUUUGAACUGAACGUAUAUCAAUGCAAGCAUUAUUCAGAAUUUGAUCGACGAGUUCACAAGAGUAAGAAGGUGUUUAGCAAUUUCAACAGAUGCAUUUGGCUUUGCAGUCUUGAGAGCUCUCUCAGACAUCUCCGUCAUCAAUCUCUCAUCAUCUAAAAUUUCUUCAAUAGAACUUUUAAGAGUAAGAGAGUCAAGUUCAU
This 328-nucleotide unclassified non-coding RNA is filed under the name Hevea brasiliensis (rubber tree). Lineage: Eukaryota; Viridiplantae; Streptophyta; Magnoliopsida; Malpighiales; Euphorbiaceae. The record is from RNAcentral.